AAGUCGUAACAAGGUUUCCGUAGGUGAACCUGCGGAAGGAUCAUUACCAAAUCCAAAUCUCAACCCCAUGUGAACUUGUUUUUUGUCAGUCUUUGGGGGAUAUCAUUCUCUUUUCAGAGUGUUGAUAUUCCCCAAAUGAGCCCGGCAUACAAAUUUAUUUUUGCAUUGUCCGUGUCUCAUUGCAAAGACGAAAACUUAACAACUUUUAAAUUUUACGUUGGAAUAACUUUUAUUAAUAAUACUAAUAAAGGACAACUUUUAACGGUGGAUCUCUUGGCUCGU
RNAcentral lists this unclassified non-coding RNA (282 nucleotides) under fungal sp. RNAcentral's name for it is "partial internal transcribed spacer region". The stretch from base 1 to 46 matches the Rfam family "Eukaryotic small subunit ribosomal RNA", at positions 1786 to 1831 of the family's 1831-position model. The record is from RNAcentral. Lineage: Eukaryota; Fungi.